GGCGGCGGCGGUGCCCGGAUGGAGGCACGUCAUUGUCCCCCGCCGGGCGGCUGGGCUGUGUGCGGCGGCGGCGGCGGCCGAGGGGGAUGGAGCGAGCGCCGAGCCGGGUCAGAGGUGGACAAUGACCAUAGUUGACAAAGCUUCUGAAUCUUCAGGCCCGUCAGCCUAUCGGAACCAGCCUGGCGGCUCUGAGGCCGUCUCGCCUGGAGACAUGGACGCGGGGUCUGCCAGCUGGGGGGCGGUGUCUUCGGUAAAUGAUGUGUCAAAUCACACGCUCUCUUUAGGACCAGUACCUGGUGCUGUAGUGUAUUCAAGUUCAUCUGUACCUGAAAAAUCAAAACUAUCACCACAAAAGGAUCAAGCCCUAGGUGAUGGCAUUGCUCCUCCACAAAAAGUUCUUUUCCCAUCUGAGAAGAUUUGUCUUAAGUGGCAGCAAACUCAUAGAGUAGGAGCUGGGCUCCAGAAUUUGGGCAAUACCUGUUUUGCCAACGCAGCGCUGCAGUGUUUAACUUACACGCCACCUCUCGCCAACUACAUGCUAUCGCACGAACACUCCAAGACAUGUCAUGCAGAAGGAUUUUGUAUGAUGUGUACAAUGCAAGCACAUAUUACCCAGGCACUCAGUAAUCCUGGGGAUGUUAUUAAACCGAUGUUUGUCAUUAAUGAGAUGCGGCGCAUAGCUAGGCACUUCCGCUUUGGAAGCCAAGAAGAUGCCCAUGAGUUCCUGCAGUACACUGUUGAUGCUAUGCAAAAAGCAUGCUUGAACGGCAGCAACAAAUUAGACAGACACACCCAGGCUACCACACUCGUUUGUCAGAUAUUUGGAGGAUACCUAAGAUCUAGAGUCAAGUGUUUAAAUUGCAAAGGUGUGUCAGAUACUUUUGAUCCAUAUCUCGAUAUAACAUUGGAGAUAAAGGCUGCUCAGAGCGUCAACAAGGCGUUGGAGCAGUUUGUGAAGCCGGAGCAGCUUGAUGGAGAAAACUCGUACAAGUGCAGCAAGUGUAAAAAGAUGGUUCCAGCUUCAAAGAGGUUCACUAUACACAGAUCUUCUAAUGUUCUUACACUUUCUCUGAAACGUUUUGCAAAUUUUACUGGUGGAAAAAUUGCUAAGGAUGUGAAAUAUCCUGAGUAUCUUGAUAUUCGACCGUAUAUGUCUCAGCCAAAUGGAGAACCGAUCAUUUAUGUUUUGUAUGCAGUACUGGUACACACUGGUUUUAAUUGCCAUGCUGGCCAUUACUUCUGCUACAUAAAAGCUAGCAAUGGCCUCUGGUACCAAAUGAAUGACUCCAUCGUAUCUACCAGUGAUAUUAGAUCGGUACUCAGUCAACAAGCUUAUGUUCUCUUUUAUAUCAGGUCCCACGAUGUGAAAAACGGAGGUGAACUUAGUCAUUCCGCCCACAGCCCUGGCCAGUCCUCUCCCCGACCGGUGGUCAGCCAGCGGGUUGUCAGCAGCAAACAGGCGGCGUCCGGGUUUAUGGGAGCACAGCUUCCCUCUCGCAUGAUGCAGAACCCACCUCAUCUAAAUGGGACGGGACCCUUGAAGGAAACGCCGAGCAGCUCCAUGUCAAGUCCUAACGGGAAUUCCAAUGUCAGUAGGACUGGCCCUGUUAACGCCUCAACGUCUGUUCAGAACUGGUCAGUUAACAGGCCUUCAGUUAUUCCAGAACAUCCCAAGAAACAGAAAAUCACGAUCAGUAUUCACAACAAGUUACCUGUGCGCCAAGGUCAGUCUCAGCCUACCCUUCACAGCAAUUCUUUGGAGAGCCCUAACAAGCCUGCCCCGUCUUCUACCAUUACCACUUCUUCUGCAAUACAGUCUACCUCGAGUGCCCCCGUGAUGCCCGCGUCUAGUAAGGUCACAAAGCAGAUCACCCUGAGGGAGUCCUGCCCUGAGCCUCUGAUGAACGGCAGGUCCAAGCUGAGCUCCGGCGUGCUGGUCCCGUAUGGUGCCGAGUCGUCCGAAGAGUCCGACGAGGAGGCGAAGGGCCUCGGCAAGGAGAACGGUCUUGGUCCCCCCGAGAGUGCGUGCGCCCCUGCCCCGGAGGCCGAAGAUGUCGGGGCCUCUCCGCACGAGCUCCGAGAGCCCGUGGCUCUAAAUGGUGCUACCAGUACGGACAGUGACCCGAAAGAAAACGGCCUGCCCUCGGAUGCUGCCACCUGCCAAGUCCAGCCUGCUCUACACUCAGAAAACCCCUUUUCUAAGGCAAACGGUCUCCCUGGGAAGUUGAUGCCCGCUCCUUUGCCACCUCUCCCAGAAGACAAAAUCUUAGAGACCUUCAAACCCAGCAGCAAAGGGAAAGGCUGCACAGAUGAGACGAGUACGACUGGGACAGAGGAGAGGCCUCCGCAGGACCCUGAGGCUGACCUGGAGGCUGGCAGCUCCGCUCCCGAUUCCCGUGAGAACCUGGAGCUGGUCACGAGCCUUAGCAGCAAAUUCAAGAAGGUUUUGUCGCCCUCGGACCCCAGCAUCAAACCUACCAAAGAAGAAGUCUCUGAAAACAUUUUGGCAAAACCCGAGGAGGCUUUGCCGAGUAUCAACACCUUUUGUAACACCAACAAGGAUACCCUCGGGGAUGAUCAGCUUCCUAAACCGUGUGACCCUGGGAAUUUAACAAAUGAUCAGAGCAAACCGUCCCAGGACGUGAAAGGGAUGUUACCAGAGUGUCCCCAGGACCCGGCGGCAGCAGAAGCAGCGGGGAGGCUGAGCCCGAGUCCCUUGUCACGUACCGAGGGCGACUGUGAGCCUGAGCCCUUGGGUCACAGCAGUCGGGACAGAGGCACGGAUGUGGAGGGUCCCCCUCAAAGCACAGGGGUGUCCGCAGAUGGGGUGCCCUCUCCGCAAUUAGACAGGAUCGCAGAAAACCGUCCAGAGGGGGUCCCCGAGCAAAGUAACGGUGAGAGAGGUGAAGAUGGUAAGGCCGGGCAGAAGGUCCAGGAGGCUUGUCCAGUGCAGGAAAAAAUCAGCAGCCUCAGAAAGGUGGACCGAGGACAUUACCGCAGCCGGCGAGACCGGUCGUCCAGCGGCGAGCGCGUGCGGGCGAGCAGGAGCAGGACCGAGGACCAGCGUCGCCGGAAGCGGCCCCGCCACGGGCGGGAGCAGCCCCGGUCCGAGUGGCCCGAGCCCUGCGCCGCGGCCCCGCACGCCUCCUGCCCCGGGUCCCUGGCCAGGUCCGGCCACCGGCGCUCCCGGAGCAGGGGGGCCCCCGACCAGGAGUGGGGCCGCUACCACCACGGCGAGGGCGAGCACGCCUGGGCCUGGGAGAAGCACUACCCGGACAGGAUGCGCUGGGGGCGGUGCAGGUACCACCACGACAGGUGCGCCCCGUACCCGGCCCGCGAGCCGCGGGACUGGAGGCCCUUCCACGCCGAGCGAGAGUACGACCGAGCCGGGCCCUAUGGCGGCCGGCCGUACAAGGACCACUACAGAGGCCGGAAGGGCUACGAGCCGGCGGCCAAAGAGAGGGACCGGCACCGCUUCAGCAGCCCCCGGGCGGGCCUGGCCCACGCGCCCCCUCCGCACCCCGCUGACAAGCACGCCCACGAAAAGGCUGCGCUGGGGGCUGAAGACAGCAGCUGUGGCCUCGCCGGUCGGUUUCACGAACACAAGGACGUCAAGUCACGGAAACCGAGGUACGGUAGUGUAGGGAAUGAUGACAGUCACGUAGAAAAGAAAGCCUGGAGAAGCUUACAAAAGGAUCCUUUAGAGGAGCCUAAAGUGAAGAAGCACAAAAAAUCAAAGAAGAAAAAGAAAUCCAAAGACAAACACCGAGACCGAGAUUCCAGGCAUCAGCAGGACUCAGACCUUUCGGUAGCGCACUCUGAUGCUGACCUCCACAGACACAAGAAGAAGAAGAAGAAGAAGAAGAGGCACUCAAGGAAAUCGGAGGACUUGGUUAGAGAUUCAGAACCACACUUGCCCAAGGCCGCCAGCUGUGAGACUGUGGACCAUUUCCGGAGAGCGGACAGCGCUUUCCCCCUCACAAACGGCCAGCCUCUGGAGGGUGUGGGACCUUUCCGUGAGAAAACAAAACAUUUCUGGAUGGAAACCAGGGAUGACAGGUGUCAUCCGUCUGACUGUGGCCAGGCCUUUUCUACUCUGAUUGCUCUGAAAGCAGCCCCCCUUGCUUCCUCAUCUGUUCCGAUGACCUUCGACCCUGGAAGGAGUGCUGAGCGUAUUUGAGGGGGCCGGGGGCCUAGGGCAGGGCUGGACUGGCCACCGUCUUUGCGCGGCCUGACGGUAAGGAAGAAUUUGACGUUUUUAAAUGGUUGGAAGAGUCAAAAGAAGAAUAUUUCAUUUCACAUGAAAAUCAUGGGAAAUUGAGGUGUCUGUAGAGCCGCAAUGAGCCCAGCCCGGCCCGCCCGUCCGCCCGUCCACAGGGAAAGGUGUGCUGGCCUCGCCCUGGACCCCUGAGGCAGACCCCCGCGACCCUGCCCGCUGUCCUAGAUGCCCAGGGGCCACGGGGUUCUCGACUGCGUCCUGGACCCGGGUGAGGUGUCGUUUGUUCGGGGGCAGCCCUGUCCCGUGCGGUGGCCCCGGUCCCACGGUGGGUGGUGGAGGACGGACAGAGGGCCGCGCAGCGCUCUGGCGUUUGGGAGGAGCAGAGAGCAGAAGGGGUGGCGUGUUCCUGAGUGGCGGGGGCAUGCUGGGGCGCGCGGCGUGGGUGAGGAGUCGUCGGGGCGGCAGGAGAGGGACGCUACCGGUGGGCUUGCUCUGUGUUUGUUAAGAGGGGAAUUAUUUGCAUUUCCGCACUGGUUUCCCAUGAACAGUUCAGCGAUUCGGGGAAGGCACUUGGUGGGGAUGAGUCCCUGCUGACGUCUGCUUGGUGCUUGGGGCGAAGUGGAGACGGGCUGUUCGUGUGCAUUCUGCGCAGGUCCGCGGGGAUUCUACGUUUUUGCCAGAAUCUUCCCCUUCCGGCUGCAGGUCUCUGGUGAGGACCACAGCUGGAGGCCGCCAGCGCACCCGCAGAGCUGGCUCGGGGGACAGUAGGUGGCGUGCAAAGCCCAGUAGUGGGCAUGUGGUGGCCCAGACGCGCGUCUCCAGAGGCUGCAGGCAGGGGGGUGGCCCCUUUCCUGUCCUCAAUCUGAUGGCGCCCAAUGACUGGUGUGCUCCUGGCUUGGGCGCCCGCCCCGUCCUGACCUCCCGGGAAGGGCCACCUGCUCGGGCCCAGACCACGCAUCGCUGUCGGCUGGUGGAGGCCAGACCUCUUGGCCUGCGUGUGUCUGUCCUGGCGCCCUGACCACUGACCUCUCUUCCAGACUCCUGUUCUCUGGCGCCAUCAAGCUCUCGAUUUCUCUGGCCUAAGAUCUGUUCUCACCUAAUGUUGAAACGCUGAUGGGUUUACUGGGGUCAGAGUGGACUAUGCCCGAGGGGACGUGGCCCUCAGUUGUCACCUCAACUCUUGUUUUCAGUGAAGCACUUGGAGACACAGCUUGUGUAGGACUGAUUUCAGGCAACAGACAUUAAGCUUCUGAGGACUGCUUCUGAGUGUAGUCACGUAACGCACACACAGCGUAGGCACUAAAAUUUUUGCAAAACCAUCAUUAAAAUGUUUCCUAACCUUUGCUUUGUAGGUGAUUGAAAACGUGGCCUCAAAACAAAAAAUUCACUAGUUACGAUUCAACGUGUUCAACAGAAGCCAUCCCCAACCCAGCUUAAAUUAUAAAUAGAGAAAAUAACUUUGUUCAAAUCUGCGUGGUGCUUCUUUAGUAAAUACUGUACAGAUUUUACCAUGGAGGACUUUUUUUUUUUUUAGUUUUUACCACCUUUUCUUAAUUACCCUUAUUCCAAAUGAACACUUUCUACAACUGCUGACCAUUGUAAAAUAAGACUGUGUGUAUAUAAAUCACAUUGAAAAUAACGCCCUGGACUAGAACAUCUCAAAUGCUGCUUAAUCACAGACUCAGGUUGAUCACUCGUAUUCCAUGUAACGCUCCUCCAGGCCGGACGUCCGGUGCAAGACCAACCGGGAAACCAUGGAAUUAGUAAAAGUACAAACUGACAGCGUGUAUAUUUAAUUUAAAAACUUAUUUAAAGAUUCACAAGCUCUCAACUCGACUUUUGAGAGCAGUCGUCUGUUUUCUGUAAUGUCUGAUACUAGAAACUAAUUUGCUUCAUAUUUUAGUUGUAUUCAAGAUUUGAAGAUGUAUUUUAUAGACAAGUUCUGUUUUUGAACUUUGUGGAACUAUUCCAAUCAAUUUACCAGUUAUGAUGAGUAUUUACAUUAUGAAUGUAUAAUCCGAACAUUAUUUGUAAGGCCUACAGUAUGUUUUUGUUACGUAACAACACUUUUUUAUACAGUGUCUCUCGUCUUGACUGAUAUUGGAGUCUGACUUGUCAGCUUGGUCCCUUAAAGUUUCUAGUUACAGACAAAAAUCAUACUGUGAUUUUAUUUUUAAUAUGGAUAUGCUAUCAAACUGUGAUACACUUAUAAUUCACUGGUCCUGCAUCAGGAGUUGGAGUGGGGAAAGCUGUAUUUAAUACAGUUUGUAUCUGAAUAAUCUGUAUGGUUUAUACAGUUUGUGUUGUUCAGAGAUGUCUAAAGUUUGAUCUUUGUUUUUUUAAAGAUUAAAAAAGCACUUGCCCCACUGUAAAUAUACAGCAUGUAAAAUUUAUAUAGUAUA
Balaenoptera musculus (blue whale) is the source of this 6621-nucleotide RNA transcript. It is a transcript of the gene named ubiquitin specific peptidase 42, with no coding region annotated. The transcript is spliced from 18 exons. The record is from RefSeq and is a predicted model, not a curated record. NCBI's taxonomy places the organism in Eukaryota, Metazoa, Chordata, Mammalia, Artiodactyla, Balaenopteridae.